AGGUCCCGCCUGCCCUGUGACUAUAUGUUUAACGGCCGCGGUAUUUUGACCGUGCGAAGGUAGCGCAAUCACUUGUCUUUUAAAUGAAGACCUGUAUGAAUGGCAUCACGAGGGCUUAGCUGUCUCCCCCUCCCAGUCAAUGAAAUUGAUCUCUCCGUGCAGAAGCGGGGAUAAAAACAUAAGACGAGAAGACCCUAUGGAGCUUAAGACGCCAGAGCAGCUCAUGUUAAGCACCCCUAGAUAAAGGAUAAAACCAAAUGAACCCUGCCCUAAUGUCUUUGGUUGGGGCGACCGCGGGGAAAUAUAAAACCCCCAUGUGGAACAGGAACACUAUGUUCCUAAAUCCAAGAGCUCCCGCUCUAAUAAACAGAAUUUCUGACCAACUAGAUCCGGCAAUGCCGAUCAACGGACCGAGUUACCCUAGGGAUAACAGCGCAAUCCUCUUAAAGAGCCCUUAUCGACAAGGGGGUUUACGACCUCGAUGUUGGAUCAGGACAUCCUAAUGGUGCAGCCGCUAUUAAGGGUUCGUUUGUUCAAC
This 538-nucleotide ribosomal RNA is filed under the name Lagodon rhomboides. RNAcentral's name for it is "partial 16S ribosomal RNA". It matches the Rfam family "Bacterial large subunit ribosomal RNA", at positions 1850 to 2585 of the family's 2925-position model. The record is from RNAcentral. Lineage: Eukaryota; Metazoa; Chordata; Actinopteri; Spariformes; Sparidae.